RNAcentral lists this long non-coding RNA (251 nucleotides) under Calidris pugnax (ruff). RNAcentral's name for it is "lncRNA (ENSCPUG00000017182.1)". The record is from RNAcentral. Lineage: Eukaryota; Metazoa; Chordata; Aves; Charadriiformes; Scolopacidae.
AGCAGCUGGGCUCCUUCCCCUCUCCUCCCUCCACAGAAAGUAAGCAGAUCUUUUCCCAACUAGCAGGAAGAUGAUGUGAAAUAAUUAUGAUGUCUGCAAUCGAGGAACGAGGGAAAAAACCCCACCAAUUACCACAGCAAGAGAGAUGGCGAUGCGCUCCAGGUCUCCGGUGAUGCCCUGCUGCAGCCAAACCUCCUGCCUUGGCACAAAGGGAAUUGGGGCCUUUAAAAGCACAUGUAGGAAAUGUGAUU